RNAcentral lists this unclassified non-coding RNA (418 nucleotides) under Hevea brasiliensis (rubber tree). Lineage: Eukaryota; Viridiplantae; Streptophyta; Magnoliopsida; Malpighiales; Euphorbiaceae. The record is from RNAcentral.
GCUUAUGGCCAAUUGCUAUUUCAUGUAAGUUUUCUUUUUUCUUUAUGAUUGAUUAAUUUCCUUGAUAGAGAAGAAGUAUCAGCUCGUAGAUGUGCAAUAUAUAUGUAGUUCAAGAAUUUGUUAUGUGGGAUGUCAUUAUGAUAGUACAUUCACACUCACCUUGAGGUGUUGGAUCUCAGAAUGAAAAAUCUGAGCUUUAAGUUUAUUUUGUGGGAUAUUGGUGGAAUGAUUAGACAAAAGAAAUGAUGGUAUGCUCAAGUAUAAUGCCUAUUUAUUUAUUUAUUUAAAAAAAUGGCUUUUAUUAUGAAAAGUAUCGAAUGUGUUUGUUCUUAGUAUGAGUGCACAUAUUUUUAUCUCCUUUAUGUUCAUCCCAAAGCGAUGAUUAAUUCAUUUUCUCCAUUUUCUGCAGCAGGUUGAU